Pseudonaja textilis is the source of this 709-nucleotide non-coding RNA. The record is from RefSeq and is a predicted model, not a curated record. Lineage: Eukaryota; Metazoa; Chordata; Lepidosauria; Squamata; Elapidae.
ACCACUUAUAUCAAGCUUCCAAACCAGUUGUUAAUGAUAUUGGAUUAGCCAUGCCCCUUGGCUCCAAGCAGCACAGCCAGUGCAGAGUGCAGUUGAUCAGUUACAUCAGGUACACAGCAAGUUUCUUAUUUCCUUGCCACAUAUUGUUUUUUUAAAAAGGUACCCAUUUCACAUAUUCUUAUCUUUCCCCUUGUAGAUGGUAACCUCUACUUCCUAAGGUAUACCUGUAUCUAUAGCCAUUUUGGAAAUUGGUUUUGCAACAGAACAUCGAAGGAGGGUCCAUAUGUUCGUGUUUCAAGUUGUUGCACCACUGACAAAUGUAAUGGAGAAGCACCACCUUUUCCUCAGAUUUGGAAUUAGAGAAAGCUGGGAUUAGCAAUGUGGGCUCUUUCCAGAUUUUACUGAAUGCCACUUCCAAACAUCCUGAGCAAACAUGGCCAAAGGCAAGGAGUAUGGUGAUUUGACAUCCAACAACAUUUUGAAGGACCAGAUGCUGCUCAUCCUUGAUUUAAUUGCAUUUAUUCCUGAAGAAACCUGCAUGGAAUUGCAGCUUACCUGUUGUAUAAUGCAUAUAUGUAAAAGAAAUUCCACAGUGGCUCAAUGUACAUAAUGAUUUCUCUGCUUAGCUCAUGUUGGUGACUUGGUGCAGUGAUAAAAAUUUGGAAAUGGAACCUUCUCUGCAUUGUUUCUAUUCUUCUUGUAACUUGCA